GGGUUGUGAGGUUAAGCGACUAAGCGUACACGGUGGAUGCCCUGGCAGUCAGAGGCGAUGAAGGGCGUGCUAAUCUGCGAUAAGCGCCGGUAAGGUGAUAUGAACCGUUAUAACCGGCGAUACCCGAAUGGGGAAACCCAGUGUGACUCGUCACACUAUCAUUAACUGAAUCCAUAGGUUAAUGAGGCGAACCGGGGGAACUGAAACAUCUAAGUACCCCGAGGAAAAGAAAUCAACCGAGAUUCCCCCAGUAGCGGCGAGCGAACGGGGAGGAGCCCAGAGCCUGAAUCAGCAUGUGUGUUAGUGGAAGCGUCUGGAAAGGCGCGCGAUACAGGGUGACAGCCCCGUACACAAAAGCGCAUGUGCUGUGAGCUCGAUGAGUAGGGCGGGACACGUGGUAUCCUGUCUGAAUAUGGGGGGACCAUCCUCCAAGGCUAAAUACUCCUGACUGACCGAUAGUGAACCAGUACCGUGAGGGAAAGGCGAAAAGAACCCCGGCGAGGGGAGUGAAAAAGAACCUGAAACCGUGUACGUACAAGCAGUGGGAGCACAGGUUUACCUGUGUGACUGCGUACCUUUUGUAUAAUGGGUCAGCGACUUAUAUUCUGUAGCAAGGUUAACCGAAUAGGGGAGCCGGAGGGAAACCGAGUCUUAAUUGGGCGUUAAGUUGCAGGGUAUAGACCCGAAACCCGGUGAUCUAGCCAUGGGCAGGUUGAAGGUUGGGUAACACUAACUGGAGGACCGAACCGACUAAUGUUGAAAAAUUAGCGGAUGACCUGUGGCUGGGGGUGAAAGGCCAAUCAAACCGGGAGAUAGCUGGUUCUCCCCGAAAGCUAUUUAGGUAGCGCCUCGUGAAUUCAUCUCCGGGGGUAGAGCACUGUUUCGGCUAGGGGGCCAUCCCGGCUUACCAACCCGAUGCAAACUGCGAAUACCGGAGAAUGUUAUCACGGGAGACACACGGCGGGUGCUAACGUCCGUCGUGAAGAGGGAAACAACCCAGACCGCCAGCUAAGGUCCCAAAGUCAUGGUUAAGUGGGAAACGAUGUGGGAAGGCCCAGACAGCCAGGAUGUUGGCUUAGAAGCAGCCAUCAUUUAAAGAAAGCGUAAUAGCUCACUGGUCGAGUCGGCCUGCGCGGAAGAUGUAACGGGGCUAAACCAUGCACCGAAGCUGCGGCAGCGACACUGUGUGUUGUUGGGUAGGGGAGCGUUCUGUAAGCCUGUGAAGGUGGCCUGUGAGGGUUGCUGGAGGUAUCAGAAGUGCGAAUGCUGACAUAAGUAACGAUAAAGCGGGUGAAAAGCCCGCUCGCCGGAAGACCAAGGGUUCCUGUCCAACGUUAAUCGGGGCAGGGUGAGUCGACCCCUAAGGCGAGGCCGAAAGGCGUAGUCGAUGGGAAACGGGUUAAUAUUCCCGUACUUGGUGUUACUGCGAAGGGGGGACGGAGAAGGCUAUGUUGGCCGGGCGACGGUUGUCCCGGUUUAAGCGUGUAGGUGUGUGUUCCAGGUAAAUCCGGUUCACUUUAACACUGAGGCGUGAUGACGAGGCACUACGGUGCUGAAGCAACAAAUGCCCUGCUUCCAGGAAAAGCCUCUAAGCAUCAGGUAACAUCAAAUCGUACCCCAAACCGACACAGGUGGUCAGGUAGAGAAUACCAAGGCGCUUGAGAGAACUCGGGUGAAGGAACUAGGCAAAAUGGUGCCGUAACUUCGGGAGAAGGCACGCUGACACGUAGGUGAAGUGAUUUACUCAUGGAGCUGAAGUCAGUCGAAGAUACCAGCUGGCUGCAACUGUUUAUUAAAAACACAGCACUGUGCAAACACGAAAGUGGACGUAUACGGUGUGACGCCUGCCCGGUGCCGGAAGGUUAAUUGAUGGGGUCAGCGCAAGCGAAGCUCCUGAUCGAAGCCCCGGUAAACGGCGGCCGUAACUAUAACGGUCCUAAGGUAGCGAAAUUCCUUGUCGGGUAAGUUCCGACCUGCACGAAUGGCGUAAUGAUGGCCAGGCUGUCUCCACCCGAGACUCAGUGAAAUUGAACUCGCUGUGAAGAUGCAGUGUACCCGCGGCAAGACGGAAAGACCCCGUGAACCUUUACUAUAGCUUGACACUGAACAUUGAGCCUUGAUGUGUAGGAUAGGUGGGAGGCUUUGAAGUGUGGACGCCAGUCUGCAUGGAGCCGACCUUGAAAUACCACCCUUUAAUGUUUGAUGUUCUAACGUGGACCCGUAAUCCGGGUUGCGGACAGUGUCUGGUGGGUAGUUUGACUGGGGCGGUCUCCUCCUAAAGAGUAACGGAGGAGCACGAAGGUUGGCUAAUCCUGGUCGGACAUCAGGAGGUUAGUGCAAUGGCAUAAGCCAGCUUGACUGCGAGCGUGACGGCGCGAGCAGGUGCGAAAGCAGGUCAUAGUGAUCCGGUGGUUCUGAAUGGAAGGGCCAUCGCUCAACGGAUAAAAGGUACUCCGGGGAUAACAGGCUGAUACCGCCCAAGAGUUCAUAUCGACGGCGGUGUUUGGCACCUCGAUGUCGGCUCAUCACAUCCUGGGGCUGAAGUAGGUCCCAAGGGUAUGGCUGUUCGCCAUUUAAAGUGGUACGCGAGCUGGGUUUAGAACGUCGUGAGACAGUUCGGUCCCUAUCUGCCGUGGGCGCUGGAGAACUGAGGGGGGCUGCUCCUAGUACGAGAGGACCGGAGUGGACGCAUCACUGGUGUUCGGGUUGUCAUGCCAAUGGCACUGCCCGGUAGCUAAAUGCGGAAGAGAUAAGUGCUGAAAGCAUCUAAGCACGAAACUUGCCCCGAGAUGAGUUCUCCCUGAGACUUAGAGUCUCCUGAAGGAACGUUGAAGACGACGACGUUGAUAGGCCGGGUGUGUAAGCGCAGCGAUGCGUUGAGCUAACCGGUACUAAUGAACCGUGAGGCUUAACCUUACAACGCCGAAG
Molecule: ribosomal RNA, 2928 nt
Filed under: Salmonella enterica subsp. enterica serovar Agona
Lineage: Bacteria; Pseudomonadati; Pseudomonadota; Gammaproteobacteria; Enterobacterales; Enterobacteriaceae
Description: 23S ribosomal RNA
Rfam family: Bacterial large subunit ribosomal RNA
Source: RNAcentral